GACAGAGGGUGCAAACGUUGUUCGGAAUUACUGGGCGUAAAGCGAGUGUAGGCGGUCUUCUAAGUCGGAUGUGAAAGCCCCGGGCUCAACCCGGGAAGUGCACUCGAAACUGGAAGGCUAGAGUAUCGGAGAGGUUGGUGGAAUUCUCGGUGUAGAGGUGAAAUUCGUAGAUAUCGAGAGGAACACCGGUGGCGAAGGCAGCUCGCUGGGACGGUACUGACGCUGAGGCGCGAAAGCGUGGGGAGCGAACAGG
Molecule: ribosomal RNA, 253 nt
Filed under: uncultured bacterium
Lineage: Bacteria
Description: partial 16S ribosomal RNA
Rfam family: Bacterial small subunit ribosomal RNA
Source: RNAcentral